AACGAACGCUGGCGGCAUGCCUAACACAUGCAAGUCGAACGAGACCUUCGGGUCUAUUGGCGCACGGGUGCGUAACGCGUGGGAACCUGCCCUUAGGUUCGGAAUAACUCCCCGAAAGGUGUGCUAAUACCGGAUAAUGUCUUCGGACCAAAGAUUUAUCGCCUUUGGAUGGGCCCGCGUUGGAUUAGCUAGUUGGUAGGGUAAAAGCCUACCAAGGCGACGAUCCAUAGCUGGUCUGAGAGGAUGAUCAGCCACACUGGGACUGAGACACGGCCCAGAAUCCUACGGGAGGCAGCAGUGGGGAAUAUUGGACAAUGGGCGAAAGCCUGACACAGCAAUGCCGCGUGAGUGAUGAAGGCCUUAGGGUUGUAAAGCUCUUUUACCCGGGAUGAUAAUGACAGUACCGGGAGAAUAAGCUCCGGCUAACUACGUG
RNAcentral lists this ribosomal RNA (433 nucleotides) under uncultured bacterium. RNAcentral's name for it is "partial 16S ribosomal RNA". It matches the Rfam family "Bacterial small subunit ribosomal RNA", at positions 29 to 507 of the family's 1533-position model. The record is from RNAcentral.